GUCUCUAAUGACUUGGCGAUAGUACAGUUGGUACGGUGCAAAAAAGAAACAAAUAUUUUCCAAAUUAGAAAUUUGCAAAAUAAUUACAAAUGUGAUACGAAAAUCAUUUGUUGAUGUGACAGACGACCAAAUUUCAGCUCCGAUUAAAAUAUGGCUAGCCCAUGCCAAGGAACGCAUGACGAGAAACAAAGAACAAG
Molecule: long non-coding RNA, 197 nt
Organism: Solenopsis invicta (red fire ant)
Lineage: Eukaryota; Metazoa; Arthropoda; Insecta; Hymenoptera; Formicidae
Exons: 2
Source: RefSeq, a predicted model, not a curated record